This is a long non-coding RNA of Meriones unguiculatus (Mongolian gerbil), 224 nucleotides long. RefSeq lists it as uncharacterized. Lineage: Eukaryota; Metazoa; Chordata; Mammalia; Rodentia; Muridae. The record is from RefSeq and is a predicted model, not a curated record. The transcript is spliced from 3 exons.
UUUACAUCAUUGGUGAAGGCUUGAAGGCAUGAAUGAGAAUUUAGAGCAAACAGAAUUCUAAAACGGGAGUUCUUGGUUUAUGAUGGAAGAAAUGGCACAAAUAUGAAUGUGAACCUCAACUGCUGAUUUAUAUUCUGUUAAACAAGAAACCUACAAUAAUAGCAUCUAUGCCGAAAUGGAAUAGAUUUGAAAACACCCGCAAGACUGGGAAGAAAAACCUGCGG